UGACCUUUCCUGGGGUGAACCGGCAGCAUCCCACGGUGGUCUGCUGGGCUUCAGUGAUCUCGGUGUGCGGGACAGCUUCGGGUUUUGCCCCAGCGCUCCCCCUGCCCUUUGUUGUGCUUGGCCCUCGUCCACCAUUGGGUUUCUGCGGAGCCCGGCCGGGGAAUGGCGAGAGCGCCGGUUUGAGAGCUUGGAAAGCGACCGCGAUCGCGGCCGAAUCGUCCGUUUAACUUUAGGUAGGUAGGUGGAGCCCAGGUUUUCAGUAAGACUUCCUGAGGUCAGUCUCACCCCAGUCAUUGGUGGAGCCUUCCGUAAGUGCUCUCUCUGACACGUCUGUAUCUCUAAGCCAGAUACUUGAACCCUGCCUGGUCGAGUCGCUGGCCCAUAGCCAGUAGCUGUCGUCAUUAUGAGCCUUGGUCCGCACAAAGUGCCUGCUUAACCUCAGGGUCUCUGUUCAUGUGAUGGAAGAACCGUGGCCACUUUUAAACCAGAGGAACAGCCUUUGGAGACCAUGUGCCUGACCCUGUUAGGUACCAAAGCACCGUCAUAAGCAAGAUGAGGUCGCUACCCAGGGAGAGUGAAUCCAGACAGGGUGACGGAUUGACAAGCAGGCUGAGACGAAAAGCCGUGAUGUAGUCCUCUCUCUCCUCAUCCCUGUACAACCACAGAAGAGACUCUGCAGCCAAAAGAUGGCGGAGCCACCAUAAACAUAGGCAUCUCUGUGUGGUAGGCCCUCUGUUAACCUGAGGGAGACGUGUAACGUGAACCCAAAGGACAUUGUAUGAUAAAGCCAUCGGGGUUUGAGGGUUGUUUGUUACUUUAACGUAUUUGAGUUUAACCUGAUAGAGGAGGGCUGUUUAUAUCUGCCCUUUUGGUUACUGGAGAAAAUGGCUUGACUACUGGUGAAUGUGUUUUUUCCUAUCUUCUAUGCCUAGCUCAACCCCAACACUUGAGCAGUUGAUUAAAUAUUUGAUUGAACAAGCUAGUUGCAAAUAAAGAACUGAUUAAGGAUUUAGACAGGAAAGAUUAAUUCCCUCCCUAUCCUGUUUUGGCAGGUGCGUUCACCACCUGGAUUUUAAGCAGUUUUAAUAGACCACUAUGGACACUGGGUUUUAACACUCAGCUUCCACCCUGCCUCUUGGACCCAGACAACCGAGCUACACUUGGUUUGCAUUGCCACCUGGUGGUCAGUAGGGGCAUUCUCUGCUCUACCAGCGGUCCUCAAACUUUUUAAACGGCCCCUCAGACCCGUUGGA
This is a long non-coding RNA of Echinops telfairi (small Madagascar hedgehog), 1253 nucleotides long. RefSeq lists it as uncharacterized. The transcript is spliced from 3 exons. The record is from RefSeq and is a predicted model, not a curated record. NCBI's taxonomy places the organism in Eukaryota, Metazoa, Chordata, Mammalia, Afrosoricida, Tenrecidae.